UGAAUCUUUGCAUGAAGAGUGGGACGGUCUGGCUAAAGACAUCAGAAGAGAAACUCAGAAUUCACUUCCAACUGUUGAGAGUGACCCUGUUGUUAACAUGACCACUGCACACGUUCAGGAGGACAUUAACAGGUUACAGGCUGAAAGUAUGUCAUGGGAGUUGCUAUUGAACAAACAUCGGAGCAAAGCUGCCGAAAUAGACAAAUGUGUGGAGCGGG
Molecule: long non-coding RNA, 218 nt
Organism: Sinocyclocheilus rhinocerous
Lineage: Eukaryota; Metazoa; Chordata; Actinopteri; Cypriniformes; Cyprinidae
Exons: 4
Source: RefSeq, a predicted model, not a curated record